AGUGAAACAGCUAUGUUUGCUGAUGAUGCUAUUUUUUUUAAGCUAGUUGCAGAAUAGGUAGUGAAGGGCUCCAAAAGAUCAAACAGAAGGAAGUAGUAUUAAAAUGGUACGUGCAGUUAAAUGUAAACAUGUAUAAAGUGGCACACAUAGUCAUCAUUGUCAUCAUCAUACAGUAAUAACUGUUACUGCUACUGCUACAAUUAAUCCUAAAUUAAGACAUAUAUGUUGACUUGAGCUAGUAAGGACUCACAAAAAAAAGAAAAAGAAAGAACACCCCCAUUAGUGGCCAUGAACUGGAUGAAAAUAAAAGGAGUAUGUAGUUGGUCUGGAAAAUACCAUAAUUGUGGAUGGGUCAUUAGAAAAGGAAUAAAAAAAUGAAGCUCCCAAUAUUAUAAUGUACACAUUUAUGCUGUUGCCAUUAGGCUUGAGCGAUCCAUGAAAAAAUUGAUUCUAAACUCGUUUCAAAAGUAGGGGGCGCCAGCGUUUCGUUUCUGAUGUCAUUUCCGAAUUUUGCCCCCCAAAAAAUUCGAAAUUAACGAAAAUUCGUUAUUUUCUAAAUUAAUUUGUUAAUGGCGGAUGCGCAUGCGCAGUGGCCAAAAAAAAAACAGCACGAGGGGAGAUUUUACAGGACUCUCCUGCCCUCAUUUUUUGAGUUAUCUUCUUCAAACUUGGUACAGUGGUAGAACACAUUUAACACUGAUAGCUCACCAAAAUUUGGAACGUUUCCCUUAUCUUCUGAUUUUUGGCGAAUUUUCAUAGCUUUUAUAAUAAACCAUUUUUUAAUAAUUGCAGAAAUCUGUUCCUGGUUUGAAAGUCUUAUUUCCUGUUUCAUUGGGUUGUCUUUACUGUGAAAGUCAUUGUUCUACUUCAGAAACUUUGUUUUUGUGGCUGAAACUUUGUUAAAUUGGUGGACCAAACCAUAAUAUGUUCCAUCCAUGUCGCUUGCACAAAGUUCAGGCAAUGUCAUAGAUUUUGCCAUGUUUCUAUGACAGAACCAAUUAGGAAAUGACAUUUAUCACCCAGGAACAGAAAUCAUAGUACACCAUCAAAUCCUUCCUGACAGAUGGCCAUCAGCCUCUGAAUAAGGAAAUUAGUUCCUGGUUUGAAUGUGCUAUUUCCUGUUCCAUUGGCUUUUCUGGGCUGAGAGUGUGUGACUUGCCCAAGUGGGUGGCAGAGUGGGGAAUCAUGCCACAAUUGGAGUCCAAAAUUCAAACCUCUUCCUCCCUCCUUCUCUCUAAACUUCUCAUACCUUCCAAGAAUUCACAUACUGUAUGAAAGUUUGGUCAAGAUGGUCAGAGGAGGGCAACUAAAAUGAUCUAGGGUCUGGAGAACAAGCCCUAUAAGGAGUGGCUUGAAGAACUGGGCAUGUUUAGCCUGCAGAAAAGAAGGCUGAGAGGAGACAUGAUGUAUAAUAUGUGAGGGGAAGUCAUAGAGAGGAAGGAAGAAAGCUUGUUUUCUGCUGCCCUGCAGACUAGGACACUGAACAAUGGCUUUAAACUACAGGAAAGGAGAUUUCAUCUGAACAUUAGGAAGAACUUCCUCACUGUGAGCUGUUCAGCUGUGGAACUCUCUCCCCGGGCUGUGGUGGAGGUUUCUUCUUUGGAGGCUUUUAAGCAGAGGCUGGAUGGCCAUCUGUUGGGAGGGAUUGGAUGGUGUCUUCCUGCCUGGCAGAAGGGGUUGGGCUGGAUGGCCCACGAGGUCUCUUCCAACUCUACUGUUCAAUGACGCUAUGAUUCUAAGUGAGGACAAAAGGGGGUGGGGAAUGUUAAGAGGAGAGAGGGCCUGGAACACCUGGGAAUUGUAGUUUGCAAGUGGGCAUAGUACUAUUGGAGAAACGUUUGCUUCAGCCCAAUGCUUUUAUAAAUGGUCAAUAUUCAGAGGCUUCGUUCUCCUGCAUUUUGAAAGCUAUUAUGAUGAAAUUUGCCAGAAUGGAAGCAAAAAUUAAGUACUCUUAGCCUAUCAAGUUUCAUAAUGUUUGACCCAUCCACUGAUUUUUGGGGAUUUCUGAAGCAACAUUAUUUUAAAAUGUUAGCAGAUCGAUAGCCACGCCUCCCUGUCCUUCUUCCUUCCACUUUGAUUGGCUUGCUAAGGCUUCUGGGAAAUGGAGUUUUUUCUCUCGUUAUGGCGAAUUGCUUCAUUAAUGGUCAAUAUUCAGAGGCUUCGUUCUCCUGCAUUAUGAAAGCUAUUAUGAUGAAAUUUGCCAGAAUGGAAGCAAAAAUUAAGUACUCUUUGCCUAUCAAGUUUCAUAAUGUUUGACCCAUCCACUGAUUUUUGGGGAUUUCUGAAGCAACAUUUUUUUAAAAUGUUAGCAGAUCGAUAGCCACGCCUCCCUGUCCUUCUUCCUUCCACUUUGAUUGGCUUGCUAAGGCUUCUGGGAAAUGGAGUUUUUUCUCUCGUUAUGGCGAAUUGCUUCAUUAAUGGUCAAUAUUCAGAGGCUUCGUUCUCCUGCAUUAUGAAAGCUAUUAUGAUGAAAUUUGCCAGAAUGGAAGCAAAAAUUAAGUACUCUUUGCCUAUCAAGUUUCAUAAUGUUUGACCCAUCCACUGAUUUUUGGGGAUUUUUGAAGCAACAUUUUUUUUAAAAUGCUAGCAGAUCGAUGUCCAUGCCUCUCCCUCCCUCCCUCUUCCGCUGUGAUUGACUGAGAGGCAUGCCAACAUGGCUUCUCCUCUCAUAGGGGCUACAGCUUCAUCCGAAGACAUCAAAAACAAACGAAAAAAGGUACUUUUAUUAUUCAAAUUCAUAAUAUUUGUAAGGGCAGUGAGCAGAUGGUUCAAUAUUAAUUCAAAAUUGCUUACGAAACGAAUUUUUAACGAAUUUAACGAAAUAACGAAAAAUUUGCUCUAGCCUAGUUGCCAUACUUGUAAUAUUGCAUACAUUUCUGGUCACCAUGCCUCUAAAAGGAUAUUGUGAAGUAUUAUAGUCGCCAUAUCCUUUCUGAUCUUAGAAAUUAAGCAGGGUCAGGUCUGAUUAGUACUUGAAUGGGAGGCCACUAAAGAAUACUGGUUGCUACAACCUAUAUUUCAGGGAAAGGCAAUGACAAAUCUUGAUAUUUAUUGGCUAAGAAAACUAUGGAAAUUCAUGAAGGCAGCAUAAAUCAACAGGUGACUUGAAGACACACAUACACACAGCAAGCAUAAUUCCCAUAAAGGAAUGUACAAUAUUUUGAGUUUUUUGGCUAAGUAAAAUGAGUAGUAAGGAUGGGAUAUAAAAAUAUACAUGUUAUAGAGAAAGUUUUUAAAAUUGUUUAUUUGAUAUGUUAAUUGGGUUUUUAUAUCGGGAUUUGAUGUUUUAACUGAUUACGUAUUGCUGUCUGAUGUAUUUGUAUGAAUUGUAUAUGUUGUACGCCGCUUUGAACCCCAUCCACGGGAGAAAAGCGGGAUAGAAAUGAAAUAAUAAUAAUAAUAAUGUGUUUGUAAACAGGAAGAUGUUCUUCUCAUAAUGGUAGAAACUGGGAUCAUCUACAGAUCUAAAUGUUAUGAGAGACUGAAGCAAUAGAAACAGGAAAGACAAAAAAAGCAGCGAGGAGACACAGGAUGACUAUCAACAGGAUAUUUCAGACACUCAGCCUCUUUGAACAAGGCAAGGCAGCUGAACUACAAUCACACCAGGUGGGCAACUGAGGUUGAAAUAACGGGAUUGUGAAAAGAAAUUACCUCAGGCAGUGCUUUGAAUCUUUUAUGUUUCGUUUUUCCUUUAUAAAUCCAUUUCUAAUCAAUUUCUUGGAAGCACAAAAGCAGGUCAAGCAGGCAGGAUGGAGGAGGAGUGACCUGCAGGAGUUUAAAAACAUACAGGCCCUUUAAAAGGACCAAGUUGUGCAGGCCUGGUCUAGACAGAAGAAACCUUUGGACCAUCGAAAGGAUGACAUGAUCCUGGAUGGAUAGUGGAUGUCACCAAGGGAGUGCUAAAAUAUUAAUAUGAUUGAUUAUUGGCUGCCUUCUCCACUUUUUGUAUUGAUGGCAACAAGAGAUGGUUAUGAAGAGCUGCAUAAAUGUGAGCCAGGGAAAUACAAGUAGAGGUCCUCUUACAGAGUUGUGGACCUCUUCAGGUUCCCAAUCCUGCCAAGUUUUGAUGCCUACUCUGAUCACCUGAAUCUUCUGAAGAUGUAAGACUAUCUUUUUGUGAAAUAAAAAUCUUGAAAUCCUUA
Molecule: long non-coding RNA, 4142 nt
Organism: Anolis carolinensis (green anole)
Lineage: Eukaryota; Metazoa; Chordata; Lepidosauria; Squamata; Anolidae
Exons: 4
Source: RefSeq, a predicted model, not a curated record